This 443-nucleotide ribosomal RNA is filed under the name uncultured bacterium. RNAcentral's name for it is "partial 16S ribosomal RNA". It matches the Rfam family "Bacterial small subunit ribosomal RNA", at positions 338 to 795 of the family's 1533-position model. The record is from RNAcentral.
CCUACGGGGGGCAGCAGUGGGGAAUAUUGGGCAAUGGGCGCAAGCCUGACCCCGCAACGCCGCGUGAAGGAAGAAGGCUUUCGGGUUGUAAACUUCUUUUCUCAGGGACGAAGCAAGUGACGGUACCUGCGGAAUAAGCCACGGCUAACUACGUGCCAGCCGCCGAGUUAAUCCGUAGGUGGAGAGCGUUAUCCGGAUUUACUGGGUGUAAGGGGCGUGUAGGCGGGACUGCAAGUCAGAUGUGAAAACCACGGGCUAAACCGGUGGCCUGCAUUGGAAACGGUAAGUCGGGAGUACUGGGGAGGCAGACGGAAUUCAGAGUGUAGCGGUGAAAGGCGUAGAUAUUAGGAGGAACACCAGGGGCGAGGGCGGUCUGCUGGAAAGCAACUGACGCUGAGGCGCGAAAGCGUGGGGAGCAAACAGGAUUAGAUACCCUAGUAGUC